RNAcentral lists this ribosomal RNA (675 nucleotides) under uncultured Hydrogenobaculum sp. Its description in RNAcentral is "bacterial SSU rRNA". It matches the Rfam family "Bacterial small subunit ribosomal RNA", at positions 730 to 1399 of the family's 1533-position model. Lineage: Bacteria; Pseudomonadati; Aquificota; Aquificia; Aquificales; Aquificaceae. The record is from RNAcentral.
UGGGACGGUACUGACGGUCAUGGACGAAAGCUGGGGGAGCAAACCGGAUUAGGUACCCGGGUAGUCCCAGCCGUAAACGAUGGAUGUUAGGUGUAGUGAUAACUUCGCUGCACCCCAGCUAACGCGUUAAACAUCCCGCCUGGGGAGUACGGGCGCAAGCCUGAAACUCAAAGGAAUUGGCGGGGGCCCGCACAACCGGUGGAGCGUCUGGUUUAAUUCGAUGCUAACCGAAAAACCUUACCAGGGUUUGAAAUGGUAGGAAAGGCUGUCGAAAGAUAGCCGUGUUUCCCUUUUGGGAGAAAUCCUACCACAGGUGGUGCAUGGCCGUCGUCAGCUCGUGUUGUGAGAUGUUGGGUUAAGUCCCGCAACGAGCGCAACCCUUGCCCUUAUUUGCUUCCUCGUAUGAGGUGCUCUAUAAGGAGACUGCCGGCGACAAGCCGGAGGAAGGAGGGGACGACGUCAGGUCAGUAUGCCCUUUAUGCUCUGGGCUACACAGGCGCUACAGUGGCAAGGACAAUGAGUAGCGAGAGUGCAAGCUCAAGCUAAUCUCACAAACCUUGUCGUGGUGCGAAUUGAAGGUUGAAACUCACCUUCAUGAAGCCGGAAUCGGUAGUAAUGGCGUAUCAGCUAUGUCGCCGUGAAUACGUUCCCGGGCCUUGCACACACCGCCCGUCA